This 73-nucleotide transfer RNA is filed under the name Candidatus Moranbacteria bacterium CG_4_9_14_3_um_filter_40_7. RNAcentral describes it as "tRNA-Met". It matches the Rfam family "tRNA". Rfam says of the family: Transfer RNA (tRNA) molecules are approximately 80 nucleotides in length. Their secondary structure includes four short double-helical elements and three loops (D, anti-codon, and T loops). The record is from RNAcentral. Lineage: Bacteria; Candidatus Moraniibacteriota. RNAcentral also lists the same sequence under 2 other names.
GGGACUGUAGCUCAGUGGUUAGAGCGGAUGACUCAUAAUCAUUUGGUCGCUGGUUCGACUCCAGCCAGUCCCA